GAUCCUGGCUCAGGACGAACGCUGGCGGCGUGCCUAACACAUGCAAGUCGAGCGGAGACAGNGAGUAGCUUGCUAUGAGCUGUUUUAGCGGCGGACGGGUGAGUAACGCGUGAGCAACCUUUCCCAGACAGGGGAAUAACACACCGAAAGGUGUACUAAUACCGCAUAAGACCACGGGAUCACAUGGUUCUGAGGUAAAAGAUUUAUCGGUUUGGGGUGGGCUCGUGUCCGAUUAGGUAGUUGGUGAGG
This 249-nucleotide ribosomal RNA is filed under the name uncultured bacterium. RNAcentral's name for it is "partial 16S ribosomal RNA". It matches the Rfam family "Bacterial small subunit ribosomal RNA", at positions 15 to 257 of the family's 1533-position model. The record is from RNAcentral.